Molecule: non-coding RNA, 93 nt
Organism: Ascodesmis nigricans
Lineage: Eukaryota; Fungi; Ascomycota; Pezizomycetes; Pezizales; Ascodesmidaceae
Source: the annotation of a GenBank genome assembly
GGUGGGAUGGCCGAGUGGUUUUAAGGCGCCAGUCUUAGGUUUCUCUGAUAACUGGUGGAUUCAUCCGCGCGAGUUCGAAUCUCGCUCCCAUCA